Engraulis encrasicolus (European anchovy) is the source of this 911-nucleotide long non-coding RNA. RefSeq lists it as uncharacterized. Lineage: Eukaryota; Metazoa; Chordata; Actinopteri; Clupeiformes; Engraulidae. The transcript is spliced from 5 exons. The record is from RefSeq and is a predicted model, not a curated record.
CACACUCAAAAAAUGUUUCUGGGUCCUGGUAAAUAUUAAGAAAUAUGUAUACAUACAUUUAAGGAAUAUUAUUAUAAAAUGGAAAAAUGAUUCAUUGAAAUCAUAUAAACACCAUUUGAACUGUCCGCGUAUGAACUUUUAAACAAAUAAUCUAGGCCUAAACAAAUAAUGUAUGCACUUGAAAAAAGCUCAUAAUAUUAACUGACAUGCACAUCACACUCCAGAACAGUAGGUGGCAGUAAGAAAUGAAUCGCCUAUUGUCGAAACACAUUUUCAUUGACGGUAUUUAUCUUCUUCCUGCUGGCACCAAGUUGUUACCUUAUUGGUACAGAAAUAUUUUACAUAAAUCAAAACUAUAUAUGUGAAAUUCAUGCUGUAAUUCAGGUGGGAUAACAAACAAAAACAAAAAACACCAAAGAGUAAAACCGGAAAUGGAAUUACGUCACUUCCUGUUCGUCAGUUGGUCUCCUGCUUUGAAAUUGAGGCAAUCGUUUUCAGCCGGAUGGUUGCCCCCUGUGCGAGUGGAAGAUGUGACUUUGAAGACAGUCAUUGUAAAAGGUGCAAAAGGCUUGUCUAAGAUACGCUGGCAGUCUACACCGCAUGGCCUGCGUUGCUGACAUUGAGUGAAAGUUCCUGUGCCUGACAUAUACUUGAGGAAGCAUCUUGGAGGUUGUCAAGGAGAAUGGAGGCAUUGCCAGAAGGAAGGACUAGAGUGGCGAAGUGAUCCAAAGGCAGACUGCACAUCUACGUAUAUGGUUUGCAAGGAACAUCCCGUGCCAGAGACUGUGAUACAAGGCAUGGAGCUGUACAGUGAACUCGGAGCAUCUCUUGUGCAUGUGUGAUGCUCUUUGGACUCGGUUACCGGUAUAUACCCUCAAUCUCAACUCUGUGGAUUUGGAUUUACAAUUUUA